ACGAAGCCUGUUCACGUUCGCCUACAGCUGGCCAGACGGACCUAUGUCCGCGCCUCCCCUGGGAAGCCGACAGUCGAGGGCGUGGUUACCGCCAAAGCUUUCAAACAACUCCCGCGGGAGAAGGAAAUACCGCGAGACUACCGCGAGUGCGUAGAGCGGCGAGAGCUGGAAGAAAUGAAUCCACCGCCUUCAACAUCGCGGUUUGGGCGCAUGCGCUGUCUUUUAAGCAUUUUUCCGAGGAGGGGACUUGGCGUUUUUAAGAGAAAGGGUCAUUGGCUCCCCCGGAAGAGAUAUCCGCCGGGAGUGCGAACCUUGUGGAGUCGACUAUUGGAGCAGAGCUGGUGGCGCUAGGCCUAAUCGGGUCUUGCCGCUGGGGGUGAGGCGAGGAAGAAGAAAGGAUCCUCCAUGGGAGGGAGCAUUGAGCCACCAGGGAGACCCCACAAAAGUACCUAAGGGCAAUAUUUUCAACAAUGGAGAACACAGAUUGGAAAAGGGUGUAGAGAUCAAGAUAAAUUGCCUUCCGAAUUUUUUUAAUGGAAUUAUUUCAGGUUAAGGCUACCUUUGCAGAUGGUCCAGCAACUAAGUCGCCAGUUUCCAAGGGCAUUUGCACCAUCUAUGGAAAACAUCGGAUCAUUGCACACCAGACAGAUCCUUGGCAACUCAUCCCACCAUCCCCCUGCACAAAAGUUACUGCACCAGCUGACAAAGAAGGCAACCACUGAGUUUCUUUUCAUUACUAAAUAGAUACAAUAUCUCUGCCAACAAAAAAGAAUACACAAAGUGUCUCUUCAUGAAAUCUCAACCAGUUGAGACCAUGCUAAGCAAAUCAGCUUAUCUAUAGGAUGACCUCUUCUUUUCUUCAGUAGCCAGGAUUUGAAGGAGAGACUCUGACCUGUGCCACUGGUAAGUGACUAACUUUUACACACUGAACUGGUGCUGAGAACUGCGCUGUCUUCUUUGUAAGUGAAGAAUAUACAACAUAACCUUGAAGAACUGUACAGUGUUGCAAGCCAGAGGCAUACUGUGUGUAUAACAGACUGAGAAACAAGUGAAUCUUACUGAAACAAUUCCUCGUCUUUUGCUUUAUUUGCCAGUGUCAGUGUUUUGCUGGCUUAGAUUGUUACCUUUUCCUGGUAUCUUUUUCC
RNAcentral lists this long non-coding RNA (1145 nucleotides) under Moschus moschiferus (Siberian musk deer). RNAcentral's name for it is "lncRNA (ENSMMSG00000017052.1)". Lineage: Eukaryota; Metazoa; Chordata; Mammalia; Artiodactyla; Moschidae. The record is from RNAcentral.